RNAcentral lists this ribosomal RNA (428 nucleotides) under uncultured prokaryote. RNAcentral describes it as "bacterial SSU rRNA". It matches the Rfam family "Bacterial small subunit ribosomal RNA", at positions 355 to 774 of the family's 1533-position model. The record is from RNAcentral.
UGAGGAAUUUUGCGCAAUGGGCGCAAUCCUGACGCAGCAACGCCGCGUGGGUGAUGAAGGCCUUCGGGUCGUAAAGCCCUGUCAGGUGGGAAGAAUGUCCCGGGACUGAACAGGUUCCGGGAGUGACGGUACCACCAGAGGACGCACCGGCUAACUCCGUGCCAGCAGCCGCGGUAAUACGGAGGGUGCAAGCGUUAUUCGGAAUUACUGGGCGUAAAGCGCGUGUAGGCGGUCCUGCAAGUCUGAGGUGAAAGCCCCGGGCUUAACCCGGGAAGUGCAUUGGAAACUGUGGGACUUGGGUACGGGAGAGGAUGGGGGAAUUCCCGGUGUAGAGGUGAAAUGCGUAGAGAUCGGGAGGAAUAUCAGUGGCGAAGGCGCCCAUCUGGACGGUAACUGACGCUGAGACGCGAAAGCGUGGGGAGCAAACA